CAGUCGCCGCGGUAAUACGAAGGGGGCUAGCGUUGCUCGGAAUCACUGGGCGUAAAGCGCACGUAGGCGGAUCGUUAAGUCAGAGGUGAAAGCCUGGAGCUCAACUCCAGAACUGCCUUUGAUACUGGCGAUCUCGAGUCCGGAAGAGGUAAGUGGAACUGCGAGUGUAGAGGUGAAAUUCGUAGAUAUUCGGAAGAACACCAGUGGCGAAGGCGGCUUACUGGCUCAUACUGGACGCUGAGGUGCGAAAGCGUGGGGAGCAAACAGGAUUAGAUACCCCUGUAGUCCCUGUCUCUUAUAC
This 301-nucleotide ribosomal RNA is filed under the name uncultured bacterium. Its description in RNAcentral is "partial 16S ribosomal RNA". It matches the Rfam family "Bacterial small subunit ribosomal RNA", at positions 509 to 807 of the family's 1533-position model. The record is from RNAcentral.